Molecule: ribosomal RNA, 497 nt
Filed under: uncultured bacterium
Lineage: Bacteria
Description: partial 16S ribosomal RNA
Rfam family: Bacterial small subunit ribosomal RNA
Source: RNAcentral
GAUGAACGCUGGCGGCGUGCCUAAUACAUGCAAGUCGAGCGAACAGACGAGGAGCUUGCUCCUCUGACGUUAGCGGCGGACGGGUGAGUAACACGUGGAUAACCUACCUAUAAGACCGGGAUAACUUCGGGAAACCGGAGCUAAUACCGGAUAAUAUAUUGAACCGCAUGGUUCAAUAGUGAAAGACGGUUUUGCUGUCGCUUAUGGAUGGAUCCGCGCCGCAUUAGCUAGUUGGUAAGGUAACGGCUUACCAAGGCAACGAUGCGUAGCCGACCUGAGAGGGUGAUCGGCCACACUGGAACUGAGACACGGUCCAGACUCCUACGGGAGGCAGCAGUAGGGAAUCUUCCGCAAUGGGCGAAAGCCUGACGGAGCAACGCCGCGUGAGUGAUGAAGGUCUUCGGAUCGUAAAACUCUGUUAUUAGGGAAGAACAAAUGUGUAAGUAACUAUGCACGUCUUGACGGUACCUAAUCAGAAAGCCACGGCUAACUACGUG